UACGGGAGGCAGCAGUGGGGAAUUUUGGACAAUGGGGGCAACCUGAUCCAGCAAUGCCGCGUGUGUGAAGAAGGCCUUCGGGUUGUAAAGCACUUUUGUCCGGAAAGAAAACCUCCGUCCUAAUACGGUGGGGGGAUGACGGUACCGGAAGAAUAAGCACCGGCUAACUACGUGCCAGCAGCCGCGGUAAUACGUAGGGUGCAAGCGUUAAUCGGAAUUACUGGGCGUAAAGCGUGCGCAGGCGGUUCGCUAAGACCGAUGUGAAAUCCCCGGGCUUAACCUGGGAACUGCAUUGGUGACUGGCGGGCUAGAGUAUGGCAGAGGGGGGUAGAAUUCCACGUGUAGCAGUGAAAUGCGUAGAGAUGUGGAGGAAUACCGAUGGCGAAGGCAGCCCCCUGGGCCAAUACUGACGCUCAUGCACGAAAGCGUGGGGAGCAAACAGGAUUAGAUACCCUGGUAGUCCACGCCCUAAACGAUGUCAACUAGUUGUCGGGUCUUCAUUGACUUGGUAACGAAGCUAACGCGUGAAGUUGACCGCCUGGGGAGUACGGUCGCAAGAUUAAAACUCAAAGGAAUUGACGGGGACCCGCACAAGCGGUGGAUGAUGUGGAUUAAUUCGAUGCAACGCGAAAAACCUUACCUACCCUUGACAUGUACGGAACC
RNAcentral lists this ribosomal RNA (663 nucleotides) under Paraburkholderia sp. RNAcentral's name for it is "bacterial SSU rRNA". It matches the Rfam family "Bacterial small subunit ribosomal RNA", at positions 340 to 997 of the family's 1533-position model. The record is from RNAcentral. Lineage: Bacteria; Pseudomonadati; Pseudomonadota; Betaproteobacteria; Burkholderiales; Burkholderiaceae.